RNAcentral lists this ribosomal RNA (773 nucleotides) under uncultured bacterium. Its description in RNAcentral is "bacterial SSU rRNA". It matches the Rfam family "Bacterial small subunit ribosomal RNA", at positions 8 to 795 of the family's 1533-position model. The record is from RNAcentral.
AGAGUUUGAUCCUGGCUCAGGACGAACGCUGGCGGCGUGCUUAACACAUGCAAGUCGAACGAUGAAGCCCAGCUUGCUGGGUGGAUUAGUGGCGAACGGGUGAGUAACACAUGGGUGAUCUGCCCUGCACUCUGGGAUAAGCCUGGGAAACUGGGUCUAAUACCGGAUAUGACCUCUUGCUGCAUGGCGAGGGGUGGAAAGUUUUUCGGUGCAGGAUGAGCCCGCGGCCUAUCAGCUUGUUGGUGGGGUAAUGGCCUACCAAGGCGACGACGGGUAGCCGGCCUGAGAGGGCGACCGGCCACACUGGGACUGAGACACGGCCCAGACUCCUACGGGAGGCAGCAGUGGGGAAUAUUGCACAAUGGGCGAAAGCCUGAUGCAGCGACGCCGCGUGAGGGAUGACGGCCUUCGGGUUGUAAACCUCUUUCAGCAGGGACGAAGCGAAAGUGACGGUACCUGCAGAAGAAGCACCGGCCAACUACGUGCCAGCAGCCGCGGUAAUACGUAGGGUGCGAGCGUUGUCCGGAAUUACUGGGCGUAAAGAGCUCGUAGGCGGUUUGUCGCGUCGUCUGUGAAAUCCCGCAGCUCAACUGCGGGCUUGCAGGCGAUACGGGCAGACUCGAGUACUGCAGGGGAGACUGGAAUUCCUGGUGUAGCGGUGAAAUGCGCAGAUAUCAGGAGGAACACCGGUGGCGAAGGCGGGUCUCUGGGCAGUAACUGACGCUGAGGAGCGAAAGCGUGGGUAGCGAACAGGAUUAGAUACCCUGGUAGUC